RNAcentral lists this ribosomal RNA (325 nucleotides) under uncultured eukaryote. RNAcentral's name for it is "partial 18S ribosomal RNA". It matches the Rfam family "Eukaryotic small subunit ribosomal RNA", at positions 1470 to 1796 of the family's 1831-position model. The record is from RNAcentral.
CCCUUAGAUGUUCUGGGCCGCACGCGCGCUACACUGAUGCAUUCAACGAGCCUAUCCUUGACCGACAGGUCCGGGUAAUCUUUGAAUCUGCAUCGUGACGGGGAUAGAUUAUUGCAAUUAUUAAUCUUCAACGAGGAAUGCCUAGUAGGCGCAAGUCAUCAGCUUGCGUCGAUUACGUCCCUGCCCUUUGUACACACCGCCCGUCGCUCCUACCGAUUGGGUGUGCUGGUGAAAUGUUCGGAUCGGCCGUUUGUCGCGGUUUCCGCGGCUCGUGGCUGAGAAGUUCAUUAAACCCUCACACCUAGAGGAAGGAGAAGUCGUAACA